Molecule: ribosomal RNA, 1107 nt
Filed under: uncultured bacterium
Lineage: Bacteria
Description: bacterial SSU rRNA
Rfam family: Bacterial small subunit ribosomal RNA
Source: RNAcentral
CGGCUCACCAAGGCGACGAUCAGUAGCCGACCUGAGAGGUUGACCGGCCACAUUGGGACUGAGACACGGCCCAAACUCCUACGGGAGGCAGCAGUGGGGAAUAUUGCACAAUGGGGGAAACCCUGAUGCAGCGACGCCGCGUGAAGGAUGAAGUUUUUCGGUAUGUAAACUUCUAUCAGCAGGGAAGAAAAUGACGGUACCUGACUAAGAAGCCCCGGCUAACUACGUGCCUGCAGCCGCGGUAAUACGUAGGUGGCAAGCGUUAUCCGGAUUUACUGGGUGUAAAGGGAGCGUAGACGGCAUGGCAAGUCUGAAGUGAAAUCCCGGGGCUCAACCCCGGGACUGCUUUGGAAACUGUCAGUCUAGAGUGCUGGAGAGGUAAGUGGAAUUCCUAGUGUAGCGGUGAAAUGCGUAGAUAUUAGGAGGAACACCAGUGGCGAAGGCGGCUUACUGGACAGCGACUGACGUUGAGGCUCGAAAGCGUGGGGAGCAAACAAGAUUAGAUACCCUGGUAGUCCACGCCGUAAACGAUGACAAAAGGUGUUGGGUAGCAAAGGUAUUCGCUGCCGCAGCAAACGCAAUACGUAGUCCACCUGGCGAGUACGGUGGCAAGAAUGAAACUCAAAGGAAAAAACGGGGACCCGCACACCCCGCGGACCAUGUGGUUUAAUUUGUAGCAACGCGAAGAACGAUACCCGAUCUUGACAUCCCGCUGCCCGCUCCGUAAUGGGAGCCAUUCUUUGUAUCAUCGGCGACAGGUGGUGCAUGGCUGUCGUCUGCUCGUGUCGUGUGAUGUGGGGUUAAGUCCCGCACCGAGCGCAACCCCUCUCUUUUGUUGCCAGCAUUUAAGAUGGGCACUCUAGAGAGACUGCCAGGGCUAACCUGGAGGAAGGGGGGGAGGAGGUCAAAUCAUCAUCCCCCUUUUGACCAGGGCUCCCCACGUGUUCCAAUGGGGUAAACAAAGAGAAGCAAAGCUGUGAGGCGGAGCAAAUCUCAAAAAUAACGUCUCAGUUCGGAUUGUAGUCUGCAACUCGCCUACACGAAGUUGGAAUCGCUAGUAAUCGUGAAUCAGAAUGUCGCGGUGAAUAAGUUCCCGGGUCUUGUACU